AACUGGCUGGUGUCCUUGUCGUUUCUGAUCGGCAAAAUUUCAGACAGGUCCUGGUCCGAGCCUGCUGGUAGUACCUGUUCGCUUCAAAAAGACGUGAAUGUGAAUCUCAGUACGUGCUUCAACUUCGAUACAACUCGUAAAUAUUUCUUCUGCAACCGCAACGCUACAGACGAAGACGUACAUUAAUUAUCAAAUUAGUUGGCAGCAGCAGGAGCAGCUGCA
Molecule: non-coding RNA, 222 nt
Filed under: uncultured Amoebophrya
Lineage: Eukaryota; Dinophyceae; Syndiniales
Source: RNAcentral